GAAGCAGUUGGCUGUAGCUGAAGGUACAGCUGUUAGUGGUGCAACAAAAUUCUCAGACCUAGGGGCCGAUUCUCUUGACACGGUCGAGAUUGUGAUGGGUCUUGAAGAGGCAUUCAAUAUCAGCGUGGAGGAAGAUAGUGCCCAGACCAUCGCCACUGUGCAGGAUGCUGCUGAUAUGAUCGAGGAGCUUAUGGAGGCGAAGUGAAGUUAGGUCGAUGUGAAUGUUUGUCAUGCUUGUUUAUCUCUUUAUUUUCUUCCUGGGCAAUAUAUGUUAUCUGAAUUCGUGAGAGUCGGGUGUUUUCUGUUUU
Molecule: unclassified non-coding RNA, 308 nt
Filed under: Hevea brasiliensis (rubber tree)
Lineage: Eukaryota; Viridiplantae; Streptophyta; Magnoliopsida; Malpighiales; Euphorbiaceae
Source: RNAcentral